This is a long non-coding RNA of Mustela lutreola (European mink), 485 nucleotides long. RefSeq lists it as uncharacterized. Lineage: Eukaryota; Metazoa; Chordata; Mammalia; Carnivora; Mustelidae. The transcript has 2 exons. The record is from RefSeq and is a predicted model, not a curated record.
GCCGGAGGCAGCCACCAACUCCUCUCAACUUCUGCAGAUCGGCUGGGCGAAGCAACACGCUUCCUGCGCGUCUCUCCUAGGGGCUGAGCCGGGAGAACCUCACGUGUGGCCUGGGCUCACAUAUGGCCACGGCACGCUGCAGUGAAUCCAUGGCUCCUCAGGAAUCAGGCCACAGACGCGAUCCAUCACCACCUCAUGGCAGCUCACCCAGCAGUGUUCUUAGUGUCUUCUGGGCCAAAUGGGAGCCACGCCAAGGCUGCAGCAGCCAGCUAGCUACCUGGCUGAGCCUCCAUGCAGCCCCACACCUGGGCAGUUCUCCUGCACAAAAGCCUCUGCAGUCCUAUUUCUCCCUAAUGCAAGGGCCAGUUAUUUCUUAAAUUACAUCCCAAAGGACAACUUGCCAGAGUGUCACCAGCACCUGCAGAGUUUGGGUUCCUUUUCCCUUUCCUUUGGCCAUUAAAACCAGAAUGUUAUUUCUUUCUUGC